AAGAGUUUAGGAUAGUAAUUUAAACCAAGAGCCUUCAAAGCCCUAAACAGAAGUGAAAACCUUCUAUCUCUUG
Molecule: transfer RNA, 73 nt
Filed under: Pectenocypris sp. MZB 22148
Lineage: Eukaryota; Metazoa; Chordata; Actinopteri; Cypriniformes; Danionidae
Description: tRNA-Trp
Rfam family: tRNA
About the family: Transfer RNA (tRNA) molecules are approximately 80 nucleotides in length. Their secondary structure includes four short double-helical elements and three loops (D, anti-codon, and T loops). Further hydrogen bonds mediate the characteristic L-shaped molecular structure. tRNAs have two regions of fundamental functional importance: the anti-codon, which is responsible for specific mRNA codon recognition, and the 3' end, to which the tRNAs corresponding amino acid is attached (by aminoacyl-tRNA synthetases). tRNAs cope with the degeneracy of the genetic code in two manners: having more than one tRNA (with a specific anti-codon) for a particular amino acid; and 'wobble' base-pairing, i.e. permitting non-standard base-pairing at the 3rd anti-codon position.
Source: RNAcentral